Molecule: ribosomal RNA, 351 nt
Filed under: uncultured microorganism
Description: bacterial SSU rRNA
Rfam family: Bacterial small subunit ribosomal RNA
Source: RNAcentral
GAGUUUGAUCAUGGCUCAGAUUGAACGCUGGCGGCAUGCCUUACACAUGCAAGUCGAACGGUAACAGGUCUUCGGAUGCUGACGAGUGGCGAACGGGUGAGUAAUACAUCGGAACGUGCCCGAUCGUGGGGGGAUAACGAAGCGAAAGCUUUGCUAAUACCGCAUACGAUCUACGGAUGAAAGCAGGGGACCGCAAGGCCUUGCGCGAACGGAGCGGCCGAUGGCAGAUUAGGUAGUUGGUGGGAGUAAAAGACUUACCAAGCCGACGAUCUGUAGCUGGUCUGAGAGGACGACCAGCCACACUGGGACUGAGACACGGCCCAGACUCCUACGGGAGGCAGCAGUGGGGAA